RNAcentral lists this ribosomal RNA (450 nucleotides) under uncultured organism. Its description in RNAcentral is "partial 16S ribosomal RNA". It matches the Rfam family "Bacterial small subunit ribosomal RNA", at positions 331 to 797 of the family's 1533-position model. The record is from RNAcentral.
GUACACUCCUGCGGGAGGCAGCAGUGGGGAAUAUUGGACAAUGGGCGCAAGCCUGAUCCAGCCAUGCCGCGUGAGUGAUGAAGGCCCUAGGGUUGUAAAGCUCUUUCACCGGUGAAGAUAAUGACGGUAACCGGAGAAGAAGCCCCGGCUAACUUCGUGCCAACAGCCGCGGUAAUACGAAGGGGGCUAGCGUUGUUCGGAUUUACUGGGCGUAAAGCGCACGUAGGCGGACUAUUAAGUCAGGGGUGAAAUCCCGGGGCUCAACCCCGGAACUGCCUUUGAUACUGGUAGUCUUGAGUUCGAGAGAGGUGAGUGGAAUUCCGAGUGUAGAGGUGAAAUUCGUAGAUAUUCGGAGGAACACCAGUGGCGAAGGCGGCUCACUGGCUCGAUACUGACGCUGAGGUGCGAAAGCGUGGGGAGCAAACAGGAUUAGAAACCCGGGUAGUCCCA